CCCCGACACCGCAAAGACUCAGCCGCCGCCAUGGACGCCGAAACAAACCUGAGAUGUGUUUAUCUCUUUUGAACUCUCUAUAGAUCUUGUGCUAAAUUUCUUCCUUGCAAAGUCCUUCUCCACCAAACGCCCUUAGAUCCACAACAGCAGAACAAUCCAAAAAAAUGGAUGAGCCGUCAUAUCAUUCUAGAAUGACAGAUCUGUCUAGAAGAAGAUCAAAACUCGAGAAGAUAUAAACCUGGAGAAGAACCUGCUUCAUGAAUUUGCAAGGAUCAGCACGUAAUGGCAGAACCAAUAACAAGGAACCAUCAAAUAGAGGAAGAAGAUGAACAAGAAGAUGAAGACGAAGCAAAUGAGUAUAAUUCUGAAUGCAACAGUGAAGAUAAAAGUCAUCCAAACCAAGAUUACCUGGAUUGCAGUAGUGGUGAGAAUGAAAGUGAUGCAGAGGAAGAUUGCCUGGACCAAAAUACAGUAACUUGUGAUCAGUUGUGUGCAGAUCAUGAUUAUUCAGAGUUGCAACAAAUAGAGCAGAGUUGGCACAACUCUGUUUCAGAUGUUGUCCUAGAAAUGCUGAUAAGACAUACAAGAUGAGAUAAGACAAAAAUAUGAGACUUGAUUGUGGUGCUGACUUGCCACUGUCAGACGAA
Triticum aestivum (bread wheat) is the source of this 647-nucleotide long non-coding RNA. RefSeq lists it as uncharacterized. The record is from RefSeq and is a predicted model, not a curated record. The transcript has 2 exons. Lineage: Eukaryota; Viridiplantae; Streptophyta; Magnoliopsida; Poales; Poaceae.